This 118-nucleotide small nucleolar RNA is filed under the name Carlito syrichta (Philippine tarsier). RNAcentral describes it as "Small nucleolar RNA SNORA40 (ENSTSYG00000026559.1)". It matches the Rfam family "Small nucleolar RNA SNORA40". Rfam says of the family: The snoRNA ACA 40 belongs to the H/ACA family of snoRNAs and guides the pseudouridylation of 28S rRNA subunit at position U4565. NB This family has a high threshold value to exclude a large number of closely related sequences that do not appear to have conserved H and ACA boxes, and may be pseudogenes. The record is from Rfam by way of RNAcentral. Lineage: Eukaryota; Metazoa; Chordata; Mammalia; Primates; Tarsiidae.
AGCACGUGUUUUUGUUUUACUUGUAGACAAAGUUUAAUAGGUGCAAAAAAUAAAUCAUCAUCUACAAUCAAGAACGCAUUGUUCAGUAUGAGUUUUGACACUCAUAAGAAAUAUCAUG